UUGUCUUUUAAAUAAAGACCAGUAUGAAUGGCAAGACGAAAGUUCAACUGUCUCCCUAAAUUAAUCAAUGAAAUUGAUUUUCCCGUGCAGAAGCGGGAAUAAGUUUAUAAGACGAGAAGACCCUAUGGAGCUUUAAAUAUAUGAUCAAUUGUAUAACAUAAGACCAAAAGAUAAAACAUUAAAUAAAACAUAAUGAUCAAAAUUUUAGGUUGGGGCGACCACGGAGAAAAACUAAACCUCCGAGAUGAAGAAAUAUCUUAACUUAUGAACUACAGUUCUAAAAAAUAAAAUAUUUAACAUAAUUGAUCCAAUUUAUUGAUCAACGAACUAAGUUACCCUAGGGAUAACAGCGCAAUCCUUUCCAAGAGUCCCUAUCGACGAAUGGGUUUACGACCUCGAUGUUGGAUCAGGACACCCCGAUGGUGUAGCCGCUAUUAAAGGUUCGUUUGUUCAACGAUUAAAGU
Molecule: ribosomal RNA, 464 nt
Filed under: Pseudohynobius guizhouensis
Lineage: Eukaryota; Metazoa; Chordata; Amphibia; Caudata; Hynobiidae
Description: partial 16S ribosomal RNA
Rfam family: Bacterial large subunit ribosomal RNA
Source: RNAcentral